UUGCUUCCAUUGUCCUCAUUUGUAAGUUGCUUUGGAUAAAAGCAUCUCCUAAAUGUCUAAUAUUAGCAAAUACAAUAAUUGAUCAUCAGUCAUCAAUUGAUUUGAUGAUGUUUUAUUCCUUACAGGUCUCAAGCCACCACUUCCUAGCCACUCCAUCUCCAGCUGUUCUCUCAGCCCUGGAGAAGACGCAAAGGGCCUAGGUGCCAGCCAGUUUGCAUAGGCCUCUCAGUGGGUGGCAUAGUCUGUUUUGCUGCUCCUCCCCCUGCCCUGUACUUCAUUGAUUUGCCAUUACACUAUUUUCAAGACAAGGUGUAGCAAUUUCAUUUAAGGACCAGAACUGCCCAACAACCAGAAUUUUGAGACGAAAAAAAAAAAUCAGGAAGCUGAAGGUACGCUUUGCAUGUAUCCAGUUCUUUUGGUUCUUGUUUCAGAAUACGUCCUUUUUGCUGUGACCCUGUUUUUAGGGAUGAAUUCACUGUGAAGGUGCUUUCCUGAAACGGGCCUGUCUUGCUUUACAGCCCAUGCACAGGUCCUUCACAGCUCACCCUCGGGACUGCACACACCUUGAGAAAACAGGGAUAUAACUCAUAAUAAAACUCCCAAUAGGGUCGGACACUGAACCAUUUUUUUUUCUGUUCUGGCAUCAGGAGACUGGUCUGCCAAAGAAAAAAUGUGCAUGUGCUAUAAAAGCAUAAAUCUGGGUUUUGGUUGAUGUCAGCAAGUACCAGGUUUUUCAUCAGUCCAUGCCCCCAUUUAUGAAAAAUUUAGAGGAAUAUUAGGAAUUUGUGAGGCGGUUUCGUCGUGGCAUUUCGCUGCAUCUGUUUUCUGACAGACAAGGCCUUAGAGGGCAGUUCAGUUUAUUGACUCUGUCCCACAGUUAUAAAUAUUUUUACAAGAAACUUAGAAAAGAUGGUCUUACAGCCUCUGACAAAGACAUAGAACCUGUAAAGUUUUCUGAAGAGCCUUUAACAAAAGUAAUUUUAAAUCUAAAGCGUACUGAUUCUGAAACC
Molecule: long non-coding RNA, 1010 nt
Organism: Cyprinus carpio (common carp)
Lineage: Eukaryota; Metazoa; Chordata; Actinopteri; Cypriniformes; Cyprinidae
Exons: 3
Source: RefSeq, a predicted model, not a curated record